AGCAGCCGCGGUAAUUCCAGCUCCAAUAGCGUAUAUUAAAGUUGUUGCAGUUAAAAAGCUCGUAGUUGAAUUUUGGGUCUGGCCGGGCGGUCCGCCCUCUGGGUGAGCACUGUUCCGACGCCGGGCCUAUCCUUCUGGUGAGUCGGCAUGUCCUUUAUUGGGUGUGUCGGGGAACCAGGACCAUUACCUUGAAAAAUUAGAGUGUUCAAAGCAGGCGUAUGCUCGAAUACAUUAGCAUGGAAUAAUGAAAUAGGACGCGUGGUGCUAUUUUGUUGGUUUCUAGAACCGCCGUAAUGAUUAAUAGGGAUAGUUGGGGGCAUCAGUAUUCAAUUGUCAGAGGUGAAAUUCUUGGAUUUAUUGAAGACUAACUUCUGCGAAAGCAUUUGCCAAGGAUGUUUUCAUUAAUCAAGAACGAAAGUUAGGGGAUCGAAGACGAUUAGAUACCGUCGUAGUCUUAACCAUAAACUAUGCCGACUAGGAAUCGGGCGAUGUUAUUCUCAUGACUCGCCCGGCGCCCUU
This 519-nucleotide ribosomal RNA is filed under the name uncultured Ambispora. RNAcentral describes it as "SSU rRNA". It matches the Rfam family "Eukaryotic small subunit ribosomal RNA", at positions 569 to 1090 of the family's 1831-position model. The record is from RNAcentral. Lineage: Eukaryota; Fungi; Glomeromycota; Glomeromycetes; Archaeosporales; Ambisporaceae.